UACAGAGGGGGCAAGCGUUAUUCGGAAUUAUUGGGCGUAAAGGGCGCGUAGGCGGCCUUGCAAGUGACGGGUGAAAGCCCUCGGCUUAACCGAGGAACUGCCUGUCAGACUGUAAGGCUUGAGACCGGGAGAGGUGAGUGGAAUUCCCAGUGUAGCAGUGAAAUGCGUAGAUAUUGGGAGGAACACCAGUGGCGAAGGCGGCUCACUGGACCGGAACUGACGCUGAGGCGCGAAAGCGUGGGGAGCAAACAGG
Molecule: ribosomal RNA, 253 nt
Filed under: uncultured bacterium
Lineage: Bacteria
Description: partial 16S ribosomal RNA
Rfam family: Bacterial small subunit ribosomal RNA
Source: RNAcentral